This 55-nucleotide ribosomal RNA is filed under the name Prepusa montana. RNAcentral describes it as "partial 5.8S ribosomal RNA". The record is from RNAcentral. Lineage: Eukaryota; Viridiplantae; Streptophyta; Magnoliopsida; Gentianales; Gentianaceae.
AUAACGACUCUCGGNAACGGAUAUCUCGGCUCUCGCAUCGAUUAAGAACGUAACA